RNAcentral lists this ribosomal RNA (435 nucleotides) under uncultured Actinomycetes bacterium. RNAcentral's name for it is "bacterial SSU rRNA". It matches the Rfam family "Bacterial small subunit ribosomal RNA", at positions 949 to 1383 of the family's 1533-position model. The record is from RNAcentral. Lineage: Bacteria; Bacillati; Actinomycetota; Actinomycetes.
AUUCGAUGCAACGCGAAGAACCUUACCAAGGCUUGACAUAUACGAGAACGGGCCAGAAAUGGUCAACUCUUUGGACACUCGUAAACAGGUGGUGCAUGGUUGUCGUCAGCUCGUGUCGUGAGAUGUUGGGUUAAGUCCCGCAACGAGCGCAACCCUCGUUCUAUGUUGCCAGCACGUAAUGGUGGGAACUCAUGGGAUACUGCCGGGGUCAACUUGGAGGAAGGUGGGGAUGACGUCAAAUCAUCAUGCCCCUUAUGUCUUGGGCUUCACGCAUGCUACAAUGGCCGGUACAAAGGGCUGCAAUACCGUAAGGUGGAGCGAAUCCCAAAAAGCCGGUCCCAGUUCGGAUUGAGGUCUGCAACUCGACCUCAUGAAGUCGGAGUCGCUAGUAAUCGCAGAUCAGCAACGCUGCGGUGAAUACGUUCCCGGGCCUUG